UGCUGAGCAAGUCUGCUGGCAAGGACGGUGUCCAUGGAGGUGGCAUUUUGGAGGCAUAGACGUGAAGAUGGAAAUGGUUUAGUGAGGUGCAGAACUGAGGCCACUACAAAGCUUGGACUUGAGGAGGAAGCAUUGAAUUAAAUGGCCAGAUUCCACUUCCUCAGAUGGCCAUCCUGACCCAGGGAAUUCAGCGCUCCCUAUCCUUGCCAAGAACGCAGCCUGGGAUCUGCCAGGCCCUGGCAGCCUAUUUAGGUACCUGGUUUCUUCUUUAAACCACUGAAAUUCUGCGACAGGGACGGCAGAGGCCUCGCAGCGCAAGAUUCCCUUCUGGCCCACCGAGGCGCCGGUGUUCUUGGCGUUGGAGAUGUACGGCGGGUCUGCAGAGCAAAGGGACGUUAUUAUACCACACUGCAGCCGUGAGGGGUUCUGGAUCAUGAGCACAGGCUGGGCUCAGAGAGACCUGAGGAGCGGUGAGGGGAUGUGGAGCCGCGUCGUUACGAGGCUGGUUGGAACCCAGGCCAGGUUGUGCCCUCCUUGGAUGGCGGGGGGUGAGAAGAGGGCACGGAUCCACCCCCCAGG
Long non-coding RNA from Mauremys reevesii (Reeves's turtle), 579 nucleotides. RefSeq lists it as uncharacterized. Lineage: Eukaryota; Metazoa; Chordata; Testudines; Geoemydidae. The record is from RefSeq and is a predicted model, not a curated record. The transcript is spliced from 3 exons.